This 742-nucleotide unclassified non-coding RNA is filed under the name Hevea brasiliensis (rubber tree). Lineage: Eukaryota; Viridiplantae; Streptophyta; Magnoliopsida; Malpighiales; Euphorbiaceae. The record is from RNAcentral.
GGUGGGGAGGGCAUAUUUAUGCUCCCCAUAAGUCUUGGGGUAGGAGAAGAGUGGGGGAUUGGGAAAAGGAGGUACGGAAGUGAAAAGGCAUCCGGUCUGGGAGAAGGAGACGUAGAUGGAGAGAGGAAGGGUGGUGAGGAGAUAGAGAAGGGAGAGACAGAGGAGCUUGGAUUGCAAGAGAAGAGGGGUCCGCAGUUUAACACUUCCCAUUCCAUGAGUCAAAGCAUAAGUAUUGGUGGAAGCAGGACCGGAAGAAGAUAUUGUGACCAUAAGCUCAAGAUUGCUGACGGAUGGAGCCUGCAAUGGGAGAGAGGAAGAAAUCACACACCAUACCCAAAUUUGAGGAAGGAGUUGAACAGAAAUGAAACAUGUUUCUUUUUCGAAUUCAUUCGCAUGUUGUCCAUGUAAAUUCAAUUGUUAUGCCAUCUCCCAUGUACACACCAGAAAGUCAAAAGACUCUUAUCCUGCCUUGGCUCCCUAGUUGAAUUCCUUCACAACUAUUUCUUUGAGGACAUUGCCAAUGGUGCUUCCAGCUUUUUGCUGCUAUAUCUUGUAUCUCUUGCAGGGCCUCCCCUUGAUCACCAGGUAUCCACUCUUGCGGAUCGUCCCAGCCUGCUGCGGAUCGUCCCAGCCUGCUGUGGAUACGUCUUGGAAGCUCCGGCAUCAGCCUUCGACUAAAACUGGUGCUCCUCGUCCGACAUGAUCGACUGCGUGUGUAGGGGAGACGAGAGAUGAAGUCGAA